This 91-nucleotide small nucleolar RNA is filed under the name Hapsidospora chrysogenum ATCC 11550. Its description in RNAcentral is "Acremonium chrysogenum ATCC 11550 Small nucleolar RNA snR73". It matches the Rfam family "Small nucleolar RNA snR73". The record is from Rfam by way of RNAcentral. Lineage: Eukaryota; Fungi; Ascomycota; Sordariomycetes; Hypocreales; Bionectriaceae.
GUUCAUAUGAUGUUAUACAAUUUUUAUCACGACGGUCUACAUAGCCAUAUGCUUUGAUGACAAACGCCUGUGACAAGGCAUUAAUCUGAUA